AACACCACAGCACCUUCACCCUCCACUUUCCUCCUCUGCCGUGACCGAGAGUGAAGUGAGAAAGGGAGAGAGAGCCGAGCCUUCUACUUCAUCACCUCCUGACCGCAUGCUAGAAAUAAAAGUGAGAGACCUGCUGCUUUCCCUCAUCUCAUCCGCCAGCCUGUAUAAGAGAAGGAGAGGAAACGGGCUGCACUUCGAACCAUCCGAGAGAAGGAAAAAUUGACAGCACCUUGUCGCGUGUAUAAGCUGCAACCUGAGGCAAUCGAGGAGAUCUCCAAGAGGAACUCGGAGCGGACACCUAAAACGCUUGUUUGAGACCUAUCGCGCUUGUUUGACUAGGGUUUGAGACCAAGGGUGC
Non-coding RNA from Coffea arabica (coffee), 358 nucleotides. The record is from RefSeq and is a predicted model, not a curated record. Lineage: Eukaryota; Viridiplantae; Streptophyta; Magnoliopsida; Gentianales; Rubiaceae.